RNAcentral lists this microRNA (22 nucleotides) under Murid gammaherpesvirus 4 (Murine herpesvirus 68). Its description in RNAcentral is "mghv-miR-M1-2-5p". Its record names the gene mghv-miR-M1-2-5p. Lineage: Duplodnaviria; Heunggongvirae; Peploviricota; Herviviricetes; Herpesvirales; Orthoherpesviridae. The record is from miRBase by way of RNAcentral.
AGAGGGGGAGUGUGUGGUCUGU